UACGGAGGGUGCUAGCGUUAUCCGGAAUCACUGGGUUUAAAGGGCGCGUAGGCGGCUUAUUAAGUCAGAGGUGAAAGGCUGCGGCUCAACCAUGGGAUUGCCUCUGAUACUGGUAGGCUUGAAUCAGGGAGAGGUUGGCAGAAUGUGGCAUGUAGCGGUGAAAUGCAUAGAUAUGGCAUAGAACACCGGUUGCGAAGGCAGCUGUCUGGCCCUUGAUUGACGAUGAGGCGCGAAAGCGUGGGGAGCGAACAGG
This 253-nucleotide ribosomal RNA is filed under the name uncultured bacterium. RNAcentral's name for it is "partial 16S ribosomal RNA". It matches the Rfam family "Bacterial small subunit ribosomal RNA", at positions 524 to 776 of the family's 1533-position model. The record is from RNAcentral.